AAGGUGAAUCAUCGAAUCUUUGAACGCAUAUUGCACUUUCUGGUAAUCCGGAGAGUAUGCCUAUUUGAGGGUCACUUAAAAAAAAAAUGGGUAUUCCAAAUUUUUAUGGUUACCUAAAAUACAAGGCAUGCUCAUUUUUUGAAUUGCAUUAUACUAGUUAUGUGUAAUUUCGAGAAAUAUCAGGCGUGUUGUAUUUUGCAAAAACGAAGGAAAUUUGUUUCUGCAAAAUAAAUAAAUUAAACCUUGACCUCAAAUUAGGUAGGAGUACCCGCUGAACUUAAGCAUAUCAAUAAGCGGAGG
This 300-nucleotide unclassified non-coding RNA is filed under the name uncultured Ambisporaceae. Its description in RNAcentral is "sequence contains 5.8S rRNA gene, ITS2". The stretch from base 1 to 74 matches the Rfam family "5.8S ribosomal RNA", at positions 81 to 154 of the family's 154-position model. Lineage: Eukaryota; Fungi; Glomeromycota; Glomeromycetes; Archaeosporales; Ambisporaceae. The record is from RNAcentral.